GGGGGGGCCGGAUCCUGGGCUGUGUCCCGGCGCCCUGUGCUCCGGAGCCUGCGCUGUUGGAUUCGCGCUCCCGGGCCGCGCAGCCCCCU
RNAcentral lists this microRNA precursor (89 nucleotides) under Canis lupus dingo (dingo). Its description in RNAcentral is "mir-8799 microRNA precursor family". It matches the Rfam family "mir-8799 microRNA precursor family". The record is from Rfam by way of RNAcentral. Lineage: Eukaryota; Metazoa; Chordata; Mammalia; Carnivora; Canidae.